GACUCGGUGGUCUAAUGGUAAGGCGUUUGCCGUGAAGCCAUAGAGUCUUGGGUUCGAUCCUUGAUGGGGUCA
This 72-nucleotide transfer RNA is filed under the name Schistosoma japonicum. RNAcentral describes it as "tRNA-OTHER". Lineage: Eukaryota; Metazoa; Platyhelminthes; Trematoda; Strigeidida; Schistosomatidae. The record is from RNAcentral.